UACGUAGGGGGCGAGCGUUGUUCGGAAUUACUGGGCGUAAAGGGAGCGUAGGCGGACAGCUAAGUCAGAGGUGAAAGCCCAGGGCUCAACCCUGGAAUUGCCUUUGAUACUGGCUGUCUUGAGUAUGGGAGAGGUGUGUGGAACUCCGAGUGUAGAGGUGAAAUUCGUAGAUAUUCGGAAGAACACCAGUGGCGAAGGCGACACACUGGCCCAUUACUGACGCUGAGGCUCGAAAGCGUGGGGAGCAAACAGG
Molecule: ribosomal RNA, 253 nt
Filed under: uncultured bacterium
Lineage: Bacteria
Description: partial 16S ribosomal RNA
Rfam family: Bacterial small subunit ribosomal RNA
Source: RNAcentral